RNAcentral lists this ribosomal RNA (253 nucleotides) under uncultured bacterium. RNAcentral describes it as "partial 16S ribosomal RNA". It matches the Rfam family "Bacterial small subunit ribosomal RNA", at positions 524 to 776 of the family's 1533-position model. The record is from RNAcentral.
UACGUAGGGGGCAAGCGUUGUCCGGAAUCAUUGGGCGUAAAGAGCGUGUAGGCGGCCCGGUAAGUCCGCUGUGAAAGUCCAGGGCUCAACCCUGGGAUGCCGGUGGAUACUGUCGGGCUCGAGUCCGGAAGAGGAGUGUGGAAUUCCUGGUGUAGCGGUGAAAUGCGCAGAUAUCAGGAGGAACACCAAUGGCGAAGGCAGCACUCUGGGACGUGACUGACGCUGAGACGCGAAAGCGUGGGGAGCAAACCGG